Long non-coding RNA from Myotis lucifugus (little brown bat), 901 nucleotides. RefSeq lists it as uncharacterized. The record is from RefSeq and is a predicted model, not a curated record. The transcript is spliced from 2 exons. NCBI's taxonomy places the organism in Eukaryota, Metazoa, Chordata, Mammalia, Chiroptera, Vespertilionidae.
CUUCGGAGCGAGCGCUGCCAUCUUGCCUUACGGCCCUGUGGAGCUGAGUGCGAGGAAGCCACUUCCGGCCUCGCCCAGGAAGUUGGAAGCGCGCCGGAAGUGGACUGAGGGGACUUCCGGCGCGCCAGCCGGGAGGAGCUCGCGCCCGGCCUCUGGCGGACUUGGGAGGUGGUUGAGCCGUCGUUUUCCACUAGUGUCCGUCCUCGCUGCGGCCCGAAUCCGCCCUCUGGUCCCGUGCAGUACCCCGGCCCCUCGCAGCCUUGCCCACGCUCCCUCCCUGCGCAGCUGGCCCUUUGCAGUCAUGACUCUGGCACGGAUCGGGACUGCAUUUGGCGGGAAGCUCCUGGGUGGACACCUGUAACCCGACGGCCCUGACGGCUUCCUGCAGUUCAGCAGCCUUCCUGCUGCGUGCACCGGCCUCUCCCCGGGCUGCCCCCCUCAGAGGCCUCUCCCUGGGCUGCCCCCCUCAGAGGCCAGGCGCCAGGUCAUCGUGUACAGAUGGUGCUGGGAUUCCAAGCAGCUUUUCUGUUGGGCUCGGAUAACAUGUCAUGCGAAGAGGUUGGGCGCUGCACUGCUUGUUUUACUGAGGCCUCGACAUCACGAAGGAAGGCUCUUUUCUGGAGCAUCACUCUCCAGUGGACCUUUCUGCAACGAUGCGAGUGUUCUGUCGGCUCUGCACCAUACGGCUGCCAGUGGCUGCAUGUAGCCAUUGAGCACCGGAGAUGGAGCUGGGAUUAAGGAACUGUAUUUCAAUUUAAUUCUUCUUUAAGUAGCCACAUGUGGCCAGUGAUUUCAUUGUUGGACAGCACAGCUCUAGAACAUGCCUUUCCUAUCAUCUCCAAUGGAUGUUGGAUUUUUAUAUCUUUGAUACAAAAUAGAUAUCUCUCAAUCUCCACUGUCA